RNAcentral lists this ribosomal RNA (253 nucleotides) under uncultured bacterium. RNAcentral describes it as "partial 16S ribosomal RNA". It matches the Rfam family "Bacterial small subunit ribosomal RNA", at positions 524 to 776 of the family's 1533-position model. The record is from RNAcentral.
UACGUAGGGGGCUAGCGUUGUCCGGAAUCAUUGGGCGUAAAGCGCGUGUAGGCGGCCCGGUAAGUCCGCUGUGAAAGUCGGGGGCUCAACCCUCGAAAGCCGGUGGAUACUGUCGGGCUCGAGUGCGGAAGAGGCGAGUGGAAUUCCUGGUGUAGCGGUGGAAUGCGCAGAUAUCAGGAGGAACACCAAUAGCGAAGGCAGCUCGCUGGGACGGUACUGACGCUAAGGCGCGAAAGCGUGGGGAGCGAACAGG